This 1384-nucleotide ribosomal RNA is filed under the name metagenome. Its description in RNAcentral is "bacterial LSU rRNA". It matches the Rfam family "Bacterial large subunit ribosomal RNA", at positions 1550 to 2925 of the family's 2925-position model. The record is from RNAcentral.
UUAAGGCUGAGACUUGAUGCAUACCCGUUGUGGGGAAUUCAGUGAUCCUAUGCUGCCGAAAAAGCCUCUAGUGAGUUCAUACACGGCCCGUACCCCAAACCGACACAGGUGAUCAGGUAGAGAAUACCAAGGCGAUCGAGAGAACUGUGGUUAAGGAACUCGGCAAAAUGCCCCCGUAACUUCGGGAGAAGGGGGACCAUGCCCGGUGAACAUCUUCACGGUGGGAGCUGGGUGUGGUCGCAGAGACCAGAGAGAAGCGACUGUUUACUAAAAACACAGGUCCGUGCGAAGACGUUAGUCGAUGUAUACGGACUGACGCCUGCCCGGUGCUGGAAGGUUAAGAGGACCGGUUAGCCGUAAGGCGAAGCUGAGAAUUUAAGCCCCAGUAAACGGCGGUGGUAACUAUAACCAUCCUAAGGUAGCGAAAUUCCUUGUCGGGUAAGUUCCGACCUGCACGAAUGGCGUAACGACUUCUCUGCUGUCUCGACCACAGACUCGGCGAAAUUGCACUACGAGUAAAGAUGCUCGUUACGCGCGGCAGGACGAAAAGACCCCGGGACCUUUACUAUAGCUUGGUAUUGGCGUUCGAUUCGGUUUGUGUAGGAUAGGUGGGAGACUGUGAAGCAUGCACGCCAGUGUGUGUGGAGUCGUUGUUGAAAUACCACUCUGAUCGUAUUGGGCGUCUAACCUCGGCCCAUGAUCUGGGUUAGGGACAGUGCCUGGUGGGUAGUUUAACUGGGGCGGUUGCCUCCUAAAGAGUAACGGAGGCGCCCAAAGGUUCCCUCAGCCUGGAUGGCAAUCAGGUGUUGAGUGCAAGUGCACAAGGGAGCUUGACUGUGAGACUGACACGUCGAGCAGGGACGAAAGUCGGGACUAGUGAUCCGGCACCGGCAAGUGGAAGCGGUGUCGCUCAACGGAUAAAAGGUACCCCGGGGAUAACAGGCUGAUCUUCCCCAAGAGUCCAUAUCGACGGGAUGGUUUGGCACCUCGAUGUCGGCUCGUCGCAUCCUGGGGCUGGAGUAGGUCCCAAGGGUUGGGCUGUUCGCCCAUUAAAGCGGCACGCGAGCUGGGUUUAGAACGUGUGAGACAGUUCGGUCUCUAUCCGCCGCGCGCGUAAGAAACUUGAGGAAGGCUGUCCCUAGUACGAGAGGACCGGGACGGACGAACCUCUGGUGUGCCAGUUGUUCCACCAGGAGCAUGGCUGGUUAGCUACGUUCGGAAGGGAUAACCGCUGAAAGCAUCUAAGCGGGAAGCCUGUUCCAAGAUGAGGUUUCUCACCACCUUGCGUGGUUAAGGCCCCCUACAGACCAUGGGGUUGAUAGGCCGGAACUGGAAGCGCAGCAAUGCGUGGAGGUGACCGGUACUAAUAGGCCGAGGGCUUACC